Molecule: ribosomal RNA, 253 nt
Filed under: uncultured bacterium
Lineage: Bacteria
Description: partial 16S ribosomal RNA
Rfam family: Bacterial small subunit ribosomal RNA
Source: RNAcentral
UACGAGUGCCUCAAGCGUUAUCCGGAAUCAUUGGGCGUAAAGGUUGUGUAGGUGGUUAUAUUAGUCUUCUGUUAAAUUCUUCGGCUUAACCGGGGGCAUGCAGAGGAAACGGUAUAACUUGAGGAUGCGAGGGGUCUGCGGAACUCAUAGUGUAGCGGUGAAAUGCGUAGAUAUCGAGAGGAACACCUGCGGCGAAGGCGGGUUGCUGGGCUGACACUGACGCUGAGGCGCGAAAGCUAGGGGAGCGAACGGG